RNAcentral lists this ribosomal RNA (519 nucleotides) under uncultured eukaryote. RNAcentral describes it as "SSU rRNA". It matches the Rfam family "Eukaryotic small subunit ribosomal RNA", at positions 1161 to 1699 of the family's 1831-position model. The record is from RNAcentral.
AGGGCACCACCAGGAGUGGAGCCUGCGGCUUAAUUUGACUCAACACGGGAAAACUCACCCGGCCCGGACACUGGAAGGAUUGACAGAUUGAGAGCUCUUUCUUGAUUCAGUGGGUGGUGGUGCAUGGCCGUUCUUAGUUGGUGGAGUGAUUUGUCUGGUUAAUUCCGAUAACGAACGAGACUCUAGCCUACUAAAUAGAUCGUCGGCUUACAAACGCCGGCGAGACUUCUUAGAGGGACAGGCGGUGAUUCAACCGCACGAAACAGAGCAAUAACAGGUCUGUGAUGCCCUUAGAUGUCCGGGGCCGCACGCGCGCUACACUGAAGUGAUCAGCGUGCUUUUUCAACCUACUCUGUCAAGAGUGGGGAACCCAAUGAACCUUCUUCGUGAUUGGGAUGGGGGAUUGUAAUUAUUCCCCUUGAACGAGGAAUUCCCAGUAAGCGCGAGUCAUAAGCUCGCGUUGAUUACGUCCCUGCCCUUUGUACACACCGCCCGUCGCUACUACCGAUUGAAUGUUUU